This 548-nucleotide ribosomal RNA is filed under the name uncultured Glomeromycotina. RNAcentral's name for it is "SSU rRNA". It matches the Rfam family "Eukaryotic small subunit ribosomal RNA", at positions 548 to 1097 of the family's 1831-position model. Lineage: Eukaryota; Fungi; Glomeromycota. The record is from RNAcentral.
UUGGAGGGCAAGUCUGGUGCCAGCAGCCGCGGUAAUUCCAGCUCCAAUAGCGUAUAUUAAAGUUGUUGCAGUUAAAAAGCUCGUAGUUGAAUUUCGGGGUCAGUAGGCUGGUCGUGCCACAGGUAUGUACUGGUCUCACUGAUUCCUCCUUCCUGAUGAACCGUAAUGCCAUUAAUUUGGUGUUGCGGGGAAACUGGACUGUUACUUUGAAAAAAUUAGAGUGUUUAAAGCAGGCUAACGCUUGAAUACAUUAGCAUGGAAUAAUGAAAUAGGACGAUCGAUCCUAUUUUGUUGGUUUCUAGGAUUGACGUAAUGAUUAAUAGGGAUAGUUGGGGGCAUUAGUAUUCAAUUGUCAGAGGUGAAAUUCUUGGAUUUAUUGAAGACUAACUACUGCGAAAGCAUUUGCCAAGGAUGUUUUCAUUAAUCAAGAACGAAAGUUAGGGGAUCGAAGACGAUCAGAUACCGUCGUAGUCUUAACCAUAAACUAUGCCGACUAGGGAUCGGAUGAUGUUAAUUUUUUAAUGACUCAUUCGGCGCCUUACGGGAAA